CCUUGUAACGAUUGACAAGGUUCUUCCACUUACACUUGCACUGGUCAGGGGUCCUACGGUAUCCUCUUUCUCUCAUAUUUGCACUCACAAUCUCCCAAAGCGCCUUGUUCCUCUUCGCAACAGUGAAAUCUUUCUCCAGCUCCGCCCGAAUCCCAAUCAAGUCCUUUGUCUCUUGUUCAGUCCACUGUUGUUGCUGCUGUGGGAGCUUCUCUUUUGACGCCAACGGAGAGAUUUCCGUCCCCGGACUCAGCACUGUUGAUGCCGCCACCAUGCUUAUCGGCCGGAGGGAAUCGCUGUUCACGCCGCUAAACAUCGCAACAUUAGCGUCUAGGGCUUCGUAUUAUGGCUUUUCCAGAUCCCUCUGUGCGUCAC
This 372-nucleotide unclassified non-coding RNA is filed under the name Hevea brasiliensis (rubber tree). The record is from RNAcentral. Lineage: Eukaryota; Viridiplantae; Streptophyta; Magnoliopsida; Malpighiales; Euphorbiaceae.